GCAGUACUGGAGACAGGUGG
This 20-nucleotide microRNA is filed under the name Ciona intestinalis (vase tunicate). RNAcentral describes it as "cin-miR-4048-3p". The record is from miRBase by way of RNAcentral. Lineage: Eukaryota; Metazoa; Chordata; Ascidiacea; Phlebobranchia; Cionidae.